UACGAAGGGGGCUAGCGUUGCUCGGAAUCACUGGGCGUAAAGCGCACGUAGGCGGAUUGUUAAGUCAGGGGUGAAAUCCUGGAGCUCAACUCCAGAACUGCCUUUGAUACUGGCGAUCUCGAGUCCGGGAGAGGUGAGUGGAACUGCGAGUGUAGAGGUGAAAUUCGUAGAUAUUCGCAAGAACACCAGUGGCGAAGGCGGCUCACUGGCCCGGUACUGACGCUGAGGUGCGAAAGCGUGGGUAGCGAACAGG
RNAcentral lists this ribosomal RNA (253 nucleotides) under uncultured bacterium. Its description in RNAcentral is "partial 16S ribosomal RNA". It matches the Rfam family "Bacterial small subunit ribosomal RNA", at positions 524 to 776 of the family's 1533-position model. The record is from RNAcentral.